UGGAGAGAGAGAAUUUUGUUUUAAAUUAAAAUUUAAUUUAAUUUUUUAAAAAUUAAAUUUGAUAUUUUUAAGUUUUAAAUUUAAUAUUUUAUAUCUUUCAAAUUUAAAUUUAGUAUUAAAUUUAAAAUUUGAUAUUUAAAAUUAAAUGAACAAUCAAAUUUUUAUUCAAUUAUAAAAUUUAUCUAAUUCUCAUUUAUAUCUAAUUUUGUACCUAUCCAUGAUAUAAGUUAGUUUUUAUUUAUAUUCAAACCAAACAAAACCAAAAUGUCCAAAUACCCAACCCAU
Molecule: long non-coding RNA, 285 nt
Filed under: Ananas comosus (pineapple)
Lineage: Eukaryota; Viridiplantae; Streptophyta; Magnoliopsida; Poales; Bromeliaceae
Description: long non-coding RNA (ACOM_LNC039878)
Source: RNAcentral